AAUAAAUGCAUGCAUGCUUUAGCUUACAUAUAGGUAUUAUAUGUUAUAAUGUGAUUUGAUUUGAUUUUUGAUUUUUUUUUGCUUUUUUCGUUCCACAUUUUUUAUUCAGGUGUUGAUAUAUUUAGAGAAAAUGCAUGCUUUAGUCUAUUCGAUGUGUGUGAAUUUAUAAGAUCACCUUAAGAAGUGUAUAUAUAAACAAUUGGAGGAUGUGGGGGUGUUUUUUUUAUACCUUUAAGACUCUACAUUUCGUAAAAAUAAACAUUAAGAUUGAAAUAAAACAUGUACAUUUAUGUACCUUCAAUACUCAAAAGGGGAUAGAAAUUUAUACUUUAAGGU
This 336-nucleotide long non-coding RNA is filed under the name Mytilus galloprovincialis (Mediterranean mussel). The record is from RNAcentral. Lineage: Eukaryota; Metazoa; Mollusca; Bivalvia; Mytilida; Mytilidae.